Molecule: unclassified non-coding RNA, 537 nt
Filed under: Hevea brasiliensis (rubber tree)
Lineage: Eukaryota; Viridiplantae; Streptophyta; Magnoliopsida; Malpighiales; Euphorbiaceae
Source: RNAcentral
GUAAUUCUGUCAGUUCUAAGUGCUAGUACCAUGUGUCUUAAGAGUUAUUUUUUGUUUUUAGUAAUAUUAAUAAUCGUAGUCUACGUAGAAGUCCAGUAAAGGAGUCAUCUUUGCUUAGAAUGUCCAAAUGGAACAGGAGUCCAACAAAAGGUUUAGGAUUACUUUUGGUCUACAAACACCCAUGCUUGUAAACCAUUACCAUUCAAUUUUCAGUCCACAAAAUUCCUGCAACUUAUGCUUUUGUUUCUAAGUUGUACGAUACAAUUCAUGAGCCUAGAGAGUAACACUUUCUUGAUAGGUGUGAGCCCUAGAACCUAAUAGUGUUAGGCUAGUAGUUCUGGGUGUUUAAUAGCUGAUCUUGGAAUAUUCAUGUGAUCACAAAGGAAAAUAUUAAUGUUGCAACAGGUAACAAAGCAAACCUUUAGAGGUCACUUUCUUUCAAAAAUGCCAGUCCCAUCAAAAGAAUUUUUGGCAGACAUGUGGCACAUGUUGUGCCUGAUAAGGACAAGUCCAAGUAUCUAUGUUGCAGAAGUUCUA